GCCCGGGUGGCGGAAUUGGUAGACGCGCAAGGUUGAGGGCCUUGUGUCCUUCAUUGGACGUGCAGGUUCAACUCCUGUUCCGGGCA
Molecule: transfer RNA, 86 nt
Filed under: Membranihabitans marinus
Lineage: Bacteria; Pseudomonadati; Bacteroidota; Saprospiria; Saprospirales; Saprospiraceae
Also listed under: 2 other names
Rfam family: tRNA
About the family: Transfer RNA (tRNA) molecules are approximately 80 nucleotides in length. Their secondary structure includes four short double-helical elements and three loops (D, anti-codon, and T loops).
Source: Rfam by way of RNAcentral